Molecule: ribosomal RNA, 237 nt
Filed under: uncultured bacterium
Lineage: Bacteria
Description: partial 16S ribosomal RNA
Rfam family: Bacterial small subunit ribosomal RNA
Source: RNAcentral
CGAACGGGUGAGUAACGCGUGAGGAACCUGCCUCAAAGAGGGGGACAACAGUUGGAAACGACUGCUAAUACCGCAUAAGCCCACAGGUCGGCAUCGACCAGAGGGAAAAGGAGCAAUCCGCUUUGAGAUGGCCUCGCGUCCGAUUAGCUAGUUGGUGAGGUAAUGGCCCACCAAGGCGACGAUCGGUAGCCGGACUGAGAGGUUGAACGGCCACAUUGGGACUGAGACACGGCCCAG